Molecule: long non-coding RNA, 429 nt
Filed under: Daucus carota (carrot)
Lineage: Eukaryota; Viridiplantae; Streptophyta; Magnoliopsida; Apiales; Apiaceae
Description: long non-coding RNA (DCAR_LNC001444)
Source: RNAcentral
AUACCCAAAAACUGCUCUCCUGGAGGCGGGCUGUCGACUCUGGAGUCCUUAGAUGACACCAGUGCUCGGCGCCGUCUUGGUAGCUUUGAGUCUUUGAUCUCAUUGCUUGGGGAAAAUUGACAGCGUUGGUGAGGAUCCAGGUCACUUCACCAAUGGGUGACCACAGCUGCCCAGAACUUCAUAUUUCUUGAAAAUAUGGUUAAAAUAUGGUUAGAUCCAUAUUUUGUGAGAAAUGUGAGACCAAAAACCCAGGUCACUUCACCAACGGGACCCUAGGGAACGGAUUAGAAGGGAGGGGUUCUCCACCCUCCCUGUGGGCAGACGGUAUUCGGGCGCCUCGGGCUCUCUUCGGGAUCCUGGUUGAGCACUCCACUUGGAUGCUUGGCCAGUCUUGAAGGGGGCAUGUUCCAACUAAAAACUGCCCUCCCU